RNAcentral lists this ribosomal RNA (120 nucleotides) under Pteropus alecto (black flying fox). Lineage: Eukaryota; Metazoa; Chordata; Mammalia; Chiroptera; Pteropodidae. The record is from RNAcentral.
GUCUACAGCUAUGCCACCCUGAACAAGCUCGAUGUCUGAUCUCGGAAGCUAAGCAGGGUUGGCCUGGCCUGGUUAGUAUUUGGCUGGGAGACCAUCUAGGAAGACCAGGUGCUGUAGGCA